Molecule: ribosomal RNA, 253 nt
Filed under: uncultured bacterium
Lineage: Bacteria
Description: partial 16S ribosomal RNA
Rfam family: Bacterial small subunit ribosomal RNA
Source: RNAcentral
UACGUAGGGUGCAAGCGUUAAUCGGAAUUACUGGGCGUAAAGCGUGCGCAGGCGGUUAUGCAAGACAGAUGUGAAAUCCCCGGGCUCAACCUGGGAACUGCAUUUGUAACUGCAUGGCUAGAGUACGGCAGAGGGGGAUGGAAUUCCGCGUGUAGCAGUGAAAUGCGUAGAUAUGCGGAGGAACACCGAUGGCGAAGGCAAUCCCCUGGGCCUGUACUGACGCUCAUGCACGAAAGCGUGGGGAGCAAACAGG